Molecule: long non-coding RNA, 1429 nt
Filed under: Malus domestica (apple)
Lineage: Eukaryota; Viridiplantae; Streptophyta; Magnoliopsida; Rosales; Rosaceae
Description: long non-coding RNA (MDOM_LNC013028)
Source: RNAcentral
AUGAUUUGGGUUGUGGCAUGCAUUCAUCCAAUUCAAUGAGUAAAGGAAAAUCUGAGGGUUAAUUUGUGCAUCACGGUUAAUUUGGGGUGUUGAGUAUCAUAGUUUAUUGAAAAGAAAUUGGAAAUCGAUUCAUGUACAAGUGUGUCAUGUGUGAAGAACAGACCUCUAACUUAUCCAUCCAUCAUUUUAUUUCUCAAAUUCAUUUUAUAAUCUGCCUAGUUUUAUAACUUGCUUGUUUAUUUCAAAUUCAUCCAAAUCAAAACCCCCAUUUUACUUUCUUGUUCCAAAGUGUUUAAAAUCUGUUUUGUUUGUGUUUUAGAGUGUUUUGAUUUAAGUCAAAACACUAAAUUCGUCCAAAGUUGUGUUAGAGUCAAAUAUGCCCAGUUUGUGUUUUUAGGCAGUUUUGAGUGUUUUUAAGUUGUUUUGAGUCUUUAGAAUCUGUUUUGAGUCCCUUGAGUCUAUUCAAACGUUUUUAACUUUGUUUUUAUGUUUUUCAGUAAGUUUAGAGCUUUUAGCAAGCCCUCCUAAUCCCCGGUUUAGAACGAUCCCUACUUGCAGUUAUACUACAAUUUGACAAUAAGAGGGUUUAAUUUGAGUGCUUAACUUUCAUCGCAUCACCUUCUCCGACUUGAAUCUCUUGACGUAAGUGCGAAGUGACUCCUUCGGGUUCUUCUUCAUGUUGAAGAGGUGGUUAGACUUUUUUUUUUUUUCGAGCAGUUCUGUAGUUCACAUUAGUACUUCAAAGCAUUCACAGUAGUUAUAUGAAAUAAUCAAUUUAUAAACGUUUAUGGAGAUGUCAAUCUUAUAUAUGUACAUAUAUGAUAGAAGAGAAAAGACCUACUCACCUUAGGUCUGCGUUACGACUCCCUCGUAUGAACAUCGAGACAUCACAAACUAUCGUCGCCUGAGGCCAAUUAUCAAAUCAUGACUCAAGUUCUUACCAAUAGAGCACAAAAUUUACAUAAAACAUAUGCUCAAGGACCUUCAAGAAUAAUUUGAGACCCAUUGACUAAGAGUCAACCGUGGAUCGAAGAUCGACGGAUGGAUCCACAACCCUGUAAAACUCGAUCCAGAAGAUCUGCAUCUCGGAUUUCGAAUUCAUAACUUCUUAUGAUACACAAUAUGCUUCUAGAACAACAUACUUAAGUUUCAUUACGAUCUAACAGUUGGAUCUUCGCCAAAUUCCAAAACUGAUUAGCGGUUAACGUUUUGUUUUAUGAAAUUACAAAUCCAAUUCAGGAAGAUCUGUAUGUCGAAUUCUCAAUCCGUAAGUUCCUAAAUUCUUCAAAUAUUACGUACUACAAUGUAACAAAGUUUGGUGACAAUCCAACGGUUGGAUCGUCGAUUCACCUGAAUACCUAAUAACGUAUCGUAGCAAAUUUAGGUUCCAACGAUCAACCUACGUCAUUCAAAUAUCAAAACUGAAUUC